GAUGAACGCUAGCGGCAGGCUUAACACAUGCAAGUCGAGGGGCAGCGCGAUGUAGCAAUACAUUGGCGGCGACCGGCGCACGGGUGCGUAACACGUAUGGAACUUACCCUUUACUGGGAGAUAGCCCGGAGAAAUCCGGAUUAAUAUCCCAUAAUAAACGAAGUGGCAUCACUUUGUUUGAAAGCUCCGGCGGUAAAGGAUGGCCAUGCGCACGAUUAGCUAGUAGGUGAGGUAACGGCUCACCUAGGCUACGAUCGUUAGGGGGCCUGAGAGGGUUAUCCCCCACACUGGUACUGAGACACGGACCAGACUCCUACGGGAGGCAGCAGUGAGGAAUAUUGCGCAAUGGAGGCAACUCUGACGCAGCCAUGCCGCGUGCAGGAAGAAGGCGCUACGCGUUGUAAACUGCUUUUAACCGGGAAGAAACCCUCCGACGUGUCGGAGGUUGACGGUACCGGAGGAAUAAGCACCGGCUAACUUCGUGCCAGCAGCCGCGGUAAUGUAUCG
Molecule: ribosomal RNA, 507 nt
Filed under: uncultured bacterium
Lineage: Bacteria
Description: bacterial SSU rRNA
Rfam family: Bacterial small subunit ribosomal RNA
Source: RNAcentral